AGAGUUUGAUCAUGGCUCAGGACGAACGCUGGCGGCGUGCCUAAUACAUGCAAGUCGAGCGGAUUGAUUUGGAGCUUGCUCCAAUGAUGUCAGCGGCGGACGGGUGAGUAACACGUGGGUAACCUGCCUGACAGACUGGGAUAACGCUUGGAAACGAGUGCUAAUACCGGAUAGGCUUUUGGAUCGCAUGAUUCGAAAGGGAAAGAGGCUAUCGCCUCACUGUUAGAUGGACCCGCGGCGCAUUAGCUAGUUGGUGAGGUAACGGCUCACCAAGGCGACGAUGCGUAGCCGACCUGAGAGGGUGACCGGCCACACUGGGACUGAGACACGGCCCAGACUCCUACGGGAGGCAGCAGUAGGGAAUCUUCCACAAUGGGCGCAAGCCUGAUGGAGCAACGCCGCGUGAGUGAUGAAGGCCUUCGGGUUGUAAAACUCUGUCUUCUGUGACGAAACAGUGCGUGAGUGGAAAGCUCGCACCUUGACGGUAACAGAGGAGGAAGCCACGGCUAACUACGUGCCAGCAGCCGCGGUAAUACGUAGGUGGCAAGCGUUGUCCGGAAUCACUGGGCGUAAAGCGCGCGCAGGCGGCGAUCUACGUCUGGGGUGAAAGCCCGGAGCUCAACUCCGGGACUGCCUUGGAUACGGGAUCGCUUGAGGAUUGGAGAGGCAAGGGGAAUUCCACGUGUAGCGGUGAAAUGCG
This 700-nucleotide ribosomal RNA is filed under the name uncultured bacterium. RNAcentral's name for it is "bacterial SSU rRNA". It matches the Rfam family "Bacterial small subunit ribosomal RNA", at positions 8 to 690 of the family's 1533-position model. The record is from RNAcentral.